GUAGCAUUUAAUCUUCACAAAAAUCCUGUGAGUUCAAUGCUGUUAUUAUUUCCAUUUUACAGAGGAGAAAAUGGAGUCACAGAGAGGAAGUAAUAUGUCUAAAGUUACACAACUCAUAGUAGAAGCAGCAUGGGAACAGAAAGAGCUGACCCGAGUCCAUGCUCCUGACCAUGAUGCCACCAGUUGUGAAGUCAUCUUUUCCUGGGGCCAUUUGCUGACAGG
Molecule: long non-coding RNA, 222 nt
Filed under: Bos indicus x Bos taurus (hybrid cattle)
Lineage: Eukaryota; Metazoa; Chordata; Mammalia; Artiodactyla; Bovidae
Description: lncRNA (ENSBIXG00005021262.1)
Source: RNAcentral